RNAcentral lists this transfer RNA (78 nucleotides) under Bacteroidia bacterium. RNAcentral describes it as "tRNA-Val". It matches the Rfam family "tRNA". From Rfam's summary of the family: Transfer RNA (tRNA) molecules are approximately 80 nucleotides in length. Their secondary structure includes four short double-helical elements and three loops (D, anti-codon, and T loops). The record is from RNAcentral. Lineage: Bacteria; Pseudomonadati; Bacteroidota; Bacteroidia.
GGGCUAUUAACUCAGUUGGUUUAGAGUGUUACCUUGACAGGGUAGAAGUCACUGGUUCGAGUCCAGUAUAGCCCACCA